RNAcentral lists this transfer RNA (69 nucleotides) under Bos taurus (domestic cattle). It matches the Rfam family "tRNA". Rfam says of the family: Transfer RNA (tRNA) molecules are approximately 80 nucleotides in length. Their secondary structure includes four short double-helical elements and three loops (D, anti-codon, and T loops). The record is from Rfam by way of RNAcentral. Lineage: Eukaryota; Metazoa; Chordata; Mammalia; Artiodactyla; Bovidae. RNAcentral also lists the same sequence under 1 other name.
CCUGAUGGCUCAGAUGGUAAAGAAUCUGCCUGCAAUGCAGGAGACCUGGGUUCGACCCCUGGGUCAGGA